UUAGGAAUCUUGGGCAAUGGCCGCAAGGCUGACCCAGCAACGCCGCGUGGGGGACGAAGGCCUUCGGGUUGUAAACCCCUUUUCCCGGGGACGAGGCUGACGGUACCCGGGGAAGAAGCCCCGGCUAACUACGUGCCAGCAGCCGCGGUAAGACGUAGGGGGCGAGCGCUGUCCGGAUUUACUGGGCGAAAAGGGCGCGUAGGCGGCGCGGCGCGUCGGUCGUGAAAGCGCCCCGCUCAACGGGGCGGG
RNAcentral lists this ribosomal RNA (249 nucleotides) under uncultured Chloroflexota bacterium. RNAcentral's name for it is "uncultured Chloroflexi bacterium partial 16S ribosomal RNA". It matches the Rfam family "Bacterial small subunit ribosomal RNA", at positions 355 to 621 of the family's 1533-position model. The record is from RNAcentral. Lineage: Bacteria; Bacillati; Chloroflexota.